CUGUGAGGGCAAUCUGGCCAUGACAUUUGUCACCCCAUUGAUCGCCAGGGUUGAUGUAUCCAAUCUGGCUGGCUAGGUGGGUGUCCCCUUCCACUGUGGGAGAGGACAGCCAUUCCCAAUAGAAGGAGUGUACUGUUUUCCAGUCAAGGGUAUUUAGAAAACACCAACUAGAUCAGUGGGAUUUGCCUGAAUAUCAAGUAGUCUAAUUCAUUCACUGGUUCUGGUUGGUAUUAGUGAUUGGAUUUAGU
Molecule: small nuclear RNA, 248 nt
Filed under: Pogona vitticeps (central bearded dragon)
Lineage: Eukaryota; Metazoa; Chordata; Lepidosauria; Squamata; Agamidae
Description: 7SK RNA (ENSPVIG00000007148.1)
Rfam family: 7SK RNA
About the family: 7SK was discovered as an abundant small nuclear RNA in the mid-70s but a possible function has only recently been suggested. Two independent studies have found that 7SK RNA binds the CDK9/cyclin T complex (known as elongation factor P-TEFb).
Source: Rfam by way of RNAcentral